GAACGGUAACAGGUCUUCGGAUGCUGACGAGUGGCGAACGGGUGAGUAAUACAUCGGAACGUGCCUAGUAGUGGGGGAUAACUACUCGAAAGAGUAGCUAAUACCGCAUGAGAUCUACGGAUGAAAGCAGGGGACCUUCGGGCCUUGUGCUACUAGAGCGGCUGAUGGCAGAUUAGGUAGUUGGUGGGGUAAAAGCUUACCAAGCCUGCGAUCUGUAGCUGGUCUGAGAGGACGACCAGCCACACUGGGACUGAGUCACGGCCCAGACUCCUACGGGAGGCAGCAGUGGGGAAUUUUGGACAAUGGGCGAAAGCCUGAUCCAGCAAUGCCGCGUGCAGGAUGAAGGCCCUCGGGUUGUAAACUGCUUUUGUACGGAACGAAAAGCCUGGGGCUAAUAUCCCCGGGUCAUGACGGUACCGUAAGAAUAAGCACCGGCUAACUACGUGCCAGCAGCCGCGGUAAUACGUAGGGUGCAAGCGUUAAUCGGAAUUACUGGGCGUAAAGCGUGCGCAGGCGGUUUUGUAAGACAGUGGUGAAAUCCCCGGGCUCAACCUGGGAACUGCCAUUGUGACUGCAAGGCUAGAGUGCGGCAGAGGGGGAUGGAAUUCCGCGUGUAGCAGUGAAAUGCGUAGAUAUGCGGAGGAACACCGAUGGCGAAGGCAUCCCCUGGUGCUGCACUGACGCUCAUGC
RNAcentral lists this ribosomal RNA (690 nucleotides) under uncultured beta proteobacterium. RNAcentral describes it as "bacterial SSU rRNA". It matches the Rfam family "Bacterial small subunit ribosomal RNA", at positions 64 to 752 of the family's 1533-position model. The record is from RNAcentral. Lineage: Bacteria; Pseudomonadati; Pseudomonadota; Betaproteobacteria.